CUCUCGCAACGGCUUCCUGGCGCGGGAGUGGACACAUUAAUGGAGCA
RNAcentral lists this non-coding RNA (47 nucleotides) under Aestuariivita boseongensis. RNAcentral describes it as "SAM-SAH-Weickhmann-2018 RNA". It matches the Rfam family "SAM/SAH riboswitch aptamer". Lineage: Bacteria; Pseudomonadati; Pseudomonadota; Alphaproteobacteria; Rhodobacterales; Paracoccaceae. The record is from RNAcentral.